UGAGUAACACGUGGGUGAUCUGCCCUGCACUUUGGGAUAAGCCUGGGAAACUGGGUCUAAUACCGAAUACUUCCUACUGGUUGCAUGGCUGGUAGGGGAAAGCUUUUGCGGUGUGGGAUGAGCCCGCGGCCUAUCAGCUUGUUGGUGGGGUGAUGGCCUACCAAGGCGACGACGGGUAGCCGGCCUGAGAGGGUGUCCGGCCACACUGGGACUGAGAUACGGCCCAGACUCCUACGGGAGGCAGCAGUGGGGAAUAUUGCACAAUGGGCGCAAGCCUGAUGCAGCGACGCCGCGUGGGGGAUGACGGCCUUCGGGUUGUAAACCUCUUUCAGUACCGACGAAGCGUAAGUGACGGUAGGUACAGAAGAAGCACCGGCCAACUACGUGCCAGCAGCCGCGGUAAUACGUAGGGUGCGAGCGUUGUCCGGAAUUACUGGGCGUAAAGAGCUCGUAGGUGGUUUGUCGCGUUGUCCGUGAAAACUCACAGCUUAACUGUGGGCGUGCGGGCGAUACGGGCAGACUGGAGUACUGCAGGGGAGACUGGAAUUCCUGGUGUAGCGGUGGAAUGCGCAGAUAUCAGGAGGAACACCGGUGGCGAAGGCGGGUCUCUGGGCAGUAACUGACGCUGAGGAGCGAAAGCGUGGGGAGCGAACAGGAUUAGAUACCCUGGUAGUCCACGCCGUAAACGGUGGGUACUAGGUGUGGGUUUCCUUCCUUGGGAUCCGUGCCGUAGCUAACGCAUUAAGUACCCCGCCUGGGGAGUACGGGCCGCAAGGCUAAAACUCAAAAGGAAUUGACGGGGGGCCCGCACAA
Molecule: ribosomal RNA, 813 nt
Filed under: Mycobacterium sp.
Lineage: Bacteria; Bacillati; Actinomycetota; Actinomycetes; Mycobacteriales; Mycobacteriaceae
Description: bacterial SSU rRNA
Rfam family: Bacterial small subunit ribosomal RNA
Source: RNAcentral